RNAcentral lists this transfer RNA (71 nucleotides) under Marmota monax (woodchuck). Its description in RNAcentral is "tRNA.Ala". It matches the Rfam family "tRNA". Rfam says of the family: Transfer RNA (tRNA) molecules are approximately 80 nucleotides in length. Their secondary structure includes four short double-helical elements and three loops (D, anti-codon, and T loops). Lineage: Eukaryota; Metazoa; Chordata; Mammalia; Rodentia; Sciuridae. The record is from RNAcentral.
GGGGUUGUGGCUCAGUGGUAGAGUGCUCGCCUAGCAUGUGUGAGUCACUGGGUUCGACUCUCAGCACCACA